Molecule: ribosomal RNA, 368 nt
Filed under: Anas crecca (Common teal)
Lineage: Eukaryota; Metazoa; Chordata; Aves; Anseriformes; Anatidae
Description: partial small subunit ribosomal RNA
Rfam family: Bacterial small subunit ribosomal RNA
Source: RNAcentral
CCAGAGAACUACGAGCACAAACGCUUAAAACUCUAAGGACUUGGCGGUGCCCUAAACCCACCUAGAGGAGCCUGUUCUGUAAUCGAUGAUCCACGAUCAACCCUACCGUCCCUUGCCAAGCACAGCCUACAUACCGCCGUCGCCAGCCCACCUCGAAUGAGAGCACAACAGUGGGCGCAACAGCACCCCGCUAAUAAGACAGGUCAAGGUAUAGCCUAUGGGGCGGAAGAAAUGGGCUACAUUCCCUAUACAUAGGGCAGCACGGAAAGAAGUAUGAAACUACUUCUGGAAGGAGGAUUUAGCAGUAAAGCGGGAUAAUAAAGCCCGCUUUAAGCCGGCCCUAGGGCACGUACACACCGCCCGUCACC